This 280-nucleotide long non-coding RNA is filed under the name Elaeis guineensis (African oil palm). RNAcentral describes it as "long non-coding RNA (EGUI_LNC073224)". The record is from RNAcentral. Lineage: Eukaryota; Viridiplantae; Streptophyta; Magnoliopsida; Arecales; Arecaceae.
AGGUCAGAAGGAACACAGCAUACAAUGGAGAUAGGAUCGAGCAGUCUAAUUCAACUCUCAUGUUUAUCCAUCCUUGAUCAGCAGGUGAUUGCCUCAGGGCAUAGGGACGAGGAAAUUUUGAAGCUCUCAAAAUUAGAAGGAGACCGAAUGUCGAGUUGAGGUGAAGAUUGUUAGGAUCUAAUCUCUUAAGAUUCAAUUUAUAUUGAGCACACAGCAAGGUCCGCAACGACGAAUGGAGUCCAAUGAGCCCAAGAUCAGCCCAAAUGGAGUUCAGAUGGAG